CAUAUAGGAUAAUCAACUAAACAUGUUAUUGUUCAUUUAUUAAAAUGUUUUGCUAUAAUGGGAGUUCCUGGAUCUAUAAAAACAUAUAAUGGACCUGUGUAUACUAGUUUAAAAUUUAAGAAAUUUUUACAAGAAUAUCAUAUUAAACAUGUUACUGACAUUCCUGAUAAUCCUCAGGGACAGACACUUAUAGAACGAGCUCAUCAUAUGUUAAAAUUACAAUUAAAUAAAAUAAAAAAGGAGGAAUAUGGGGAAAAUGAAUAUGGGGAAAAGGAAAUUGAUAUUUUAGGUGAAGGACAAAAUGUAACCUAUAAGAAAUUUAUGAAACAAUUAAUACAAACACCACAUCAACUUUUACAUAUUACUUUAUUUACAUUAAAUUUUUAAAAUUUGCCACAAGGAGACAUUGAAUCUCAGGUUGAAAAACAUUUUAAAGAAACUGACUCAGAAUCACCUCAACCAGUCUGGGUAAAAUUAGAUCAUGAUAAUUGAACACCAGGACAAAUGUUUGCAAAGAGGAAGGGAUAUGCUUGUGUUUCCACAGAUGGCAGAGCGACCCAGGUCUGGCUUCCUGAAUGAAAAAUUGGAUUCCGGAGUCAAGACAAUGGCCUGGACGACUAUUAAAUACAACCUGAGAUGGGGAAAGAGAAUAUCAACUAAACAAGUUGUCUGAGUUGAAUUUUUUCUAAUUACAUAGCUUUGCUAUACUUCAUAAAUAACAGAAGGAAACCAAAGGAGAAAAAACAAGGGAGGAAGGUAAACCAGUUUUAGACAUCAAGAUUGGAUUAACGACAAAGCAGCAGUACAUCUUGCAUCUUCCUACCAAACAACAGAAAGUGUUCCACUCCUAGAGUUACCCUCCCCCACCUAACAACAGAUCAUUUUUUGCCUGAACAAAAAGGUUUUCCAAUGUCAGGAAAGCUCAACACCAGAGCUGAUUUUGAUUCUUUGAAGUUUUAUUUUUUUCUGACUAAUGCCACACAUAUAAGACUUGCCACCAAUUGCCAUGAAUCUGAAAUGGCAGAAUAUUGCUUUGUUCCUUUGCUCUGGUAGUUCUCAACAAAGAAAAAUCUUCUCUCUCUCUCUCUCUCUCUCUCUCUCUCUCUCUCUCUCUCUCUCUCUUCCUAGAGAUGCUUCAC
This is a non-coding RNA of Heterocephalus glaber (naked mole-rat), 1139 nucleotides long. Lineage: Eukaryota; Metazoa; Chordata; Mammalia; Rodentia; Bathyergidae. The record is from RefSeq and is a predicted model, not a curated record.